Long non-coding RNA from Empidonax traillii (willow flycatcher), 249 nucleotides. RefSeq lists it as uncharacterized. The record is from RefSeq and is a predicted model, not a curated record. NCBI's taxonomy places the organism in Eukaryota, Metazoa, Chordata, Aves, Passeriformes, Tyrannidae. The transcript has 2 exons.
CACUUUUAUUUCACUUUUUUGGUACAUCCAGAAGUUCUAACUGACAAAAGAGGCUCACUGGACAGCAUGUUCUACAAACAGGUUUCAUAUCCAAAUAUAGAAUUUACCGAGCCGAAACAUCAGUGUCUACAUUCACAUUUAUGAUAUCUGGAUUACAUGAGAGCUUUACAGCAAUGGAAAGCCUGCUCUGAACAUAGUUAUCUCUCUUUCAUCAAAUUGUCUGGCAUAAAUGCUAGGAAAAAAAAAAAA